Molecule: long non-coding RNA, 1869 nt
Organism: Camelus dromedarius (Arabian camel)
Lineage: Eukaryota; Metazoa; Chordata; Mammalia; Artiodactyla; Camelidae
Exons: 3
Source: RefSeq, a predicted model, not a curated record
GCCUGCGACCCGGGCCGCUCCUACACCUGCCGGGGAGAGCGCGGCCGCGCGAUGGUCGCGGUCUUAAUAUGGCUGCUGUUUGUUUGGACCCGACUGGGUGUGUUCCAAGCGCGCUCCAGACUCGGUUGCAAGGUGGCUCUUGCAGCCCCCUUUUGCAUAGGAGGAAACGGAAAUUCGGAGAAGUAGAGCAGCUGGCCCAAGGUCACGCAGAGCUGGGACUGAAUCCAGGAAUCAGACUGUCAAGAUUCCAAGGCUGCUUUUUCCAUCACACCAAUACAGCCUCUAAUUCAAGAAGGCCUGAAAUGGUUAAAAACAAAAACAAGUAUUGCUGCCGUGUGAAUCCAAGCCCCAGUGCCCCGUUUGAGCCAAAUUUAAAGGUACUGAAAUUUGAUGUAUUUUUACCACUUAACAAUCCUGUGAAAACUGGGUUUUAAACCUGUCGAGUUUAAAACCUCAUGAAGAACUAUUUGGCUACCAAGUUAAAUAAGGUCAUCAGUGUGCAUUUCUAUAUCCACAUUGAGGCUCUUAAGUUCAGACUGAUGGAACUGCUCCGAAGAAGUGGAUUUGGGUGGUAAUCUGAAGUUCGAGUUGUUCCCUGUCUCCUACAAAUGCCAAAGGCUGGAAUCAUUGGGACCUUGCAAAGUGUCCAUCACAGCUUCUCUUCUCUUGGUCAAAUUCUGCUUAUGCAUGAUAAUCCCAGAAACAAUAAGAAGGCAUCUUCUGCGCACAGUGGUCUCUAAAAAUAUUUCUCAGCACUUGACUCCUGAUUGAGUCAAUGUAAAGGAAGCUUUUAUGACAGCAAUGCCAAUGUUCGAGUAAAUGCUGUUAGUGUUAUAUCUUAGGAAUUACCGCAGUGAUGUAGGAAGGAUUAAGAAAAUGAUGAACAGCAUUGGAUGCUUUCUUCUUCAUGUUUCCAACCAAGAUCCUUCUUUUGCAGUAGCUGGAGCUCUGGAUCAUUCCUUGGAUAUUUUUGCAGAUGUAGAGUCUGAAAAGACUCAAUGAAAAUUUAAGUGUUUUAAUUUACUGAACAAAUUCCAACCAGACUUCAAAAUGAAGGUGCAAAAAGGGGGCAAAUUAAUACAAAUCACUUAAAUGUAAUAAACAAUGUGAAGAUGAUGAGAAAUUCAUUGCUAUAGAGAAGACUUACUUCUUGAACAGAAUGUUUAAAAUGUAAUUUCAUUUUUAAAAAAUUGUUUAAACCAUUUUAUUUUAUUUAUUUGUGGGAGUGGGGUCCUUGUUUUUUGGGGGUUUUUUUUUUUUUUUUGGCAUGGAGGGGCUGGGGAUCGAACACAGGGCCUCAUGCAUGCUAAGCACGUGCUCUAGCACUGAGCAAUACGCACACCCCCUCCUCAGAAAAUCAAUUCUUUACAAGUUGGGUUUGAAAGUUAUUUUCAAAAGAAUCAAAAUACUUCAAAACUCUUCAAGAAUGUUUAUGUCAUUGAGACCCAUAUGACAUUUCCCCUGCUCUCUGAUGAGUCAGUUUUGCGAACACUUUAAAUGUUCCACAGUGAAAUGGAAAUGUGACUUCCUCAAGUGGAUCUUAACCCGUGAGUAACCCUGUAACAAUGAAAUGACUGCGUUUUAGAAAUAUUUUAUAACAGUUAUCCAUAUGAAAUUUAGAGGCUCUCUAAAGAUAAUGUCGUUUUAUAUCAAGUGAAUUUAAACCAAAACACUAAGACCAACUUCAUCAAACAAAAUUGCUUUCUGGCCUGCUGAUCGUUCACUGUUUAACUUAUAUGAACAAGCAAAUUAAAUAGUUUAGGAAAUAAUAUUAAUAUCCUAAGGCUAUCAUUUUGAUAAAUCUCUAGUUGGAACUUAAAGCAAUUAAUUAUAAUUUAACUUUACUCCUUAAGUGUAAUUAGAUCUGGA